CCUACGGGAGGCUGCAGUAGGGAAUAUUGCUCAAUGGGGGAAACCCUGAAGCAGCAACGCCGCGUGGAGGAUGAAGGUUUUCGGAUUGUAAACUCCUUUUGUUAGAGAAGAUAAUGACGGUAUCUAACGAAUAAGCACCGGCUAACUCCGUGCCAGCAGCCGCGGUAAUACGGAGGGUGCAAGCGUUACUCGGAAUCAUUGGGCGUAAAGAGCGCGUAGGCGGGAUAGCAAGUCAGAUGUGAAAUCCUAUGGCUUAACCAUAGAACUGCAUUUGAAACUGUUAUUCUAGAGUAUGGGAGAGGUAGGUGGAAUUCUUGGUGUAGGGGUGAAAUGCGUAGAGAUCAAGAGGAAUACUGAUUGCGAAGGCGACCUGCUAGAACAUAACUGACGCUGAUGCGCGAAAGCGUGGGGAGCAAACAGGAUUAGAUACCCUUGUAGUC
Molecule: ribosomal RNA, 440 nt
Filed under: uncultured bacterium
Lineage: Bacteria
Description: partial 16S ribosomal RNA
Rfam family: Bacterial small subunit ribosomal RNA
Source: RNAcentral